GUGGGGAAUAUUGGACAAUGGGCGAAAGCCUGAUCCAGCCAUGCCGCGUGUGUGAAGAAGGUCUUCGGAUUGUAAAGCACUUUAAGUUGGGAGGAAGGGCAGUAAGUUAAUACCUUGCUGUUUUGACGUUACCAACAGAAUAAGCACCGACUAACUUCGUGCCAGCAGCCGCGGUAAUACGAAGGGUGCAAGCGUUAAUCGGAAUUACUGGGCGUAAAGCGCGCGUAGGUGGUUCAGCAAGUUGAAGGUGAAAUCCCCGGGCUCAACCUGGGAACUGCCUCCAAAACUACUGAGCUAGAGUACGGUAGAGGGUAGUGGAAUUUCCUGUGUAGCGGUGAAACGCGUAGAUAUAGGAAGGAACACCAGUGGCGAAGGCGACUACCUGGACUGAUACUGACACUGAGGUGCGAAAGCGUGGGGAGCAAACAGGAUUAGAAACCCCUGUAGUCC
Molecule: ribosomal RNA, 450 nt
Filed under: uncultured bacterium
Lineage: Bacteria
Description: bacterial SSU rRNA
Rfam family: Bacterial small subunit ribosomal RNA
Source: RNAcentral